This 77-nucleotide transfer RNA is filed under the name Lentisphaeria bacterium. RNAcentral's name for it is "tRNA-Val". It matches the Rfam family "tRNA". Rfam says of the family: Transfer RNA (tRNA) molecules are approximately 80 nucleotides in length. Their secondary structure includes four short double-helical elements and three loops (D, anti-codon, and T loops). The record is from RNAcentral. Lineage: Bacteria; Pseudomonadati; Lentisphaerota; Lentisphaeria.
GGGCGUUUAGCUCAGUUGGUUAGAGCGCUACCUUCACACGGUAGAAGUCACUGGUUCGAAUCCAGUAACGCCCACCA